ACUAUGCGAAAGCAUAUUCCCGCCCGCGGCCUCGCGCCGCUGUGGUGACCACCCUUUGUGAACCUUUGUUUUUUGCUUCGGCAGUUCGCCUCCCGCGAGGGUCGCGGUAAAGCUGCCGACAGCCCACACCAUAAACUAUUUUGUUACCAGAAAUCAUGCAGUCUGAUUUACUUUAAUAUAAAAGUU
This 186-nucleotide unclassified non-coding RNA is filed under the name uncultured Ascomycota. Its description in RNAcentral is "sequence contains ITS1". The record is from RNAcentral. Lineage: Eukaryota; Fungi; Ascomycota.